This 526-nucleotide ribosomal RNA is filed under the name uncultured Actinomyces sp. RNAcentral describes it as "bacterial SSU rRNA". It matches the Rfam family "Bacterial small subunit ribosomal RNA", at positions 1 to 507 of the family's 1533-position model. Lineage: Bacteria; Bacillati; Actinomycetota; Actinomycetes; Actinomycetales; Actinomycetaceae. The record is from RNAcentral.
CGGUUCGACGUCGUCUAGUAGGUAGUUUGUACGUCCUGGCGUCAGGACGAACGCUGGCGGCGUGCUUAACACAUGCAAGUCGAACGCUGAAGCCUAGCUUUUGUUGGUGGAUGAGUGGCGAACGGGUGAGUAACACGUGAGUAACCUGCCCCUUCUUUGGGAUAACGCCCGGAAACGGGUGCUAAUACUGGAUAUUCACUGAUCUUCGCAUGGGGGUUGGUGGAAAGGUUUUUUCUGGUGGGGGAUGGGCUCGCGGCCUAUCAGCUUGUUGGUGGGGUGAUGGCCUACCAAGGCUUUGACGGGUAGCCGGCCUGAGAGGGUGACCGGUCACAUUGGGACUGAGAUACGGCCCAGACUCCUACGGGAGGCAGCAGUGGGGAAUAUUGCACAAUGGGCGAAAGCCUGAUGCAGCGACGCCGCGUGAGGGAUAGAGGCCUUCGGGUUGUAAACCUCUUUCGCUCAUGGUCAAGCCGCAACAUUGGUUGUGGUGAGGGUAGUGGGUAAAGAAGCGCCGGCUAACUACGUG